Molecule: ribosomal RNA, 460 nt
Filed under: uncultured bacterium
Lineage: Bacteria
Description: partial 16S ribosomal RNA
Rfam family: Bacterial small subunit ribosomal RNA
Source: RNAcentral
CCUACGGGUGGCAGCAGUGAGGAAUAUUGGUCAAUGGGCGGGAGCCUGAACCAGCCAAGUCGCGUGAGGGAAGACGGUCCUAUGGAUUGUAAACCCCUUUAGGCGGGGAGCAAUGCCGGGCACGCGUGCCCGGAGGGAGAGUACCCGCAGACUAAGCAUCGGCUAACUCCGUGCCAGCAGCCGCGGUAAUACGGAGGAUGCGUGCGUUAUCCGGAUUUAUGGGGUUUAAAGGGUGCGUAGGCGGAUUUUUAAGUACGCGGUAAAAUGUCCGGGCUCAACCCGGGCCUGCCGUUGAAACUGGGGAUCUUGAGUGGGCGAGAGGUAUGCGGAAUGCGUGGUGUAGCGGUGAAAUGCAUAGAUAUCACGCAGAACUCCGAUUGCGAAGGCAGCAUACCGGCGCCCGACUGACGCUGAGGCACGAAAGCGUGGGGAUCGAACAGGAUUAGAUACCCCUGUAGUC